AUGAUUAUAUCAAGCUCGUGUGCAACGUCAAGCUCAACAAAUUCCUCCAUAAGCUUGCCAAGAAAUCAAGUUCAACAAGAGCAAGAAGAUAAUGGAAAUCCUCCACGGCAAGAGCAAGUUGUGAGAGACGAUCCUCCUCGUCAAGGACGUCAUCAUCCCCGACCCGAACACAAUGAAGAGCAAUGCUACGGCAAGCUAAAGUUCACCAUGCCCAAGUUCAAUGGAAGCAAUGAUCCCGAAGAGUACCUUCCAUGGGCAUUGAAGGUCGACAAAAUCUUCCGCUUGCACAACUAUGAAAAAGAGAAGAAGAUCACGAUGGCAUCCCUUGAGUUCCAAGACUAUGUCCUCAUUUGGUGGGAACAAGUCAUUGAGCGCCGAGAGGCAAAAGGUGAACCACCAAUCACUACUUGGGUGCAAAUGAAGGAUGUCAUGAGAGCACACUUCGUGCCUACCUACUACAACCGCGACGUCUUCAAGAAACUCCAACUACUCAAGCAAGGAACCAAGAGCGUUGAAGAGUACUACAAGGAAAUGGGGAUUGCAAUGAUACGAGCCAAUGUCACGGAAGAUGAUGAGCAAACUAUGGCACGUUUCUUGAAUGGACUCAAUCAUCCCAUCAAGAAGAUCGCCGACUUCCAACCAUACUCGAACCUCAUCGAGCUAGUGCAUCAAGCUAUCAAAGCGGAACAUUAA
RNAcentral lists this ribosomal RNA (693 nucleotides) under Triticum aestivum (bread wheat). Its description in RNAcentral is "partial small subunit ribosomal RNA". Lineage: Eukaryota; Viridiplantae; Streptophyta; Magnoliopsida; Poales; Poaceae. The record is from RNAcentral.